Molecule: ribosomal RNA, 2145 nt
Filed under: Triticum aestivum (bread wheat)
Lineage: Eukaryota; Viridiplantae; Streptophyta; Magnoliopsida; Poales; Poaceae
Description: partial small subunit ribosomal RNA
Source: RNAcentral
AUGGAGUGCGAGACCGGCCUCGUCGGUUCCCUCAACGGCGAGGGCCUCUGUAUGUCGGCCCCCCGCGCCGACCCCCUCAACUGGGUGAAGACCGCCGAGGAGCUCACCGGGAGCCACCUCGACGAGGUGAAGAAGAUGGUGGCGCAGUUCCGCGAGCCACUGGUCACCAUCGAGGGCGCCUCCCUCGGGAUCGCGCAGGUGGCCGCCGUGGCCGCUGGCGCUGGCGUCGCCAGGGUCGCGCUCGACGAGUCCGCCCGCGGCCGCGUCAAGGAGAGCAGCGACUGGGUCAUGAACAGCAUGAUGAACGGCACCGACAGCUACGGCGUCACCACCGGCUUCGGGGCCACCUCCCACCGCCGGACCAAGGAGGGCGGCGCGCUCCAGAGAGAGCUCAUCAGGUUCCUUAACGCCGGUGCCUUCGGGACUGGCACGGACGGACACGUUCUGCCCGCCGAGGCGACACGCGCGGCUAUGCUCGUCCGCAUCAACACCCUUCUGCAGGGUUACUCUGGCAUCCGCUUCGAGAUCCUCGAAGCCAUCACCAAGCUGCUCAAUGCCAAUGUCACGCCGUGCCUGCCGCUCCGUGGCACGAUCACCGCGUCCGGUGACCUUGUGCCGCUGUCCUACAUUGCCGGCCUUAUCACCGGCCGACAGAACUCUGUUGCGGUGGCCCCUGAUGGCAGCAAGGUGACCGCUGCCGAGGCAUUCAAGAUCGCCGGGAUCGAGCACGGGUUCUUUGAGCUGCAGCCCAAGGAAGGCCUUGCCAUGGUGAACGGCACGGCUGUGGGCUCUGGUCUUGCAUCGACCGUGCUCUUUGAGGCCAAUGUUCUUUCCGUCCUUGCCGAGGUCUUGUCUGCCGUGUUCUGCGAGGUGAUGAACGGCAAGCCGGAGUUCACUGACCACUUGACCCACAAGCUGAAGCACCACCCUGGACAGAUAGAAGCGGCUGCAAUCAUGGAGCACAUCUUGGAGGGAAGCUCAUACAUGAAGCAGGCCAAGAAGCUUGGGGAGCUCGACCCGUUGAUGAAGCCGAAGCAGGACCGGUAUGCCCUCCGCACAUCGCCUCAGUGGCUCGGCCCACAAAUCGAAGUUAUUCGAUUUGCCACCAAGUCGAUUGAGCGUGAGAUCAACUCCGUCAAUGACAACCCGCUCAUCGACGUCUCCCGUGGCAAGGCCAUCCACGGUGGCAACUUCCAAGGCACCCCCAUCGGUGUCUCCAUGGACAACACCCGCCUCGCCAUUGCUGCUAUUGGCAAGCUGAUGUUCGCGCAGUUCUCGGAGCUCGUGAACGACUUCUACAACAAUGGCCUGCCAUCCAACCUGUCCGGUGGACGCAACCCGAGCUUGGACUAUGGUUUCAAGGGCGCCGAGAUCGCCAUGGCCUCAUACUGCUCUGAGCUGCAGUUUUUGGGCAACCCGGUGACUAACCAUGUCCAGAGCGCAGAGCAGCACAACCAGGAUGUGAACUCACUUGGUCUGAUCUCAUCCAGGAAGACUGCCGAGGCCAUUGACAUCUUGAAGAUCAUGUCAUCCACGUUCCUGGUCGCUCUGUGCCAGGCCAUUGACCUCCGCCACAUUGAGGAGAACAUGAAGACAGCGGUGAGGAACUGCGUGAUGCAGGUGGCCAAGAAGACACUGAGCAUGAACAACAUGGGCGGCCUCCACAUCGCCCGCUUCUGCGAGAAGGAUCUGCUGACCGCGAUCGACCGCGAGGCGGUGUUCGCGUACGCGGACGACCCCUGCAGCCCCAACUACCCGCUGAUGCAGAAGCUGCGGGCGGUGCUGGUCGAGCACGCGCUGGCCAACGGCGACGGCGAGCGCGCCCUGGAGACCUCCAUCUUCGCCAAGGUGGCGGAGUUCGAGCAGAACAUCCGCGCGGCGCUGCCCAAGGAGGUGGAGGCCGCGCGCGCGUCCGUGGAGAACGGCACGCCGCUGGCUCCGAACCGGAUCAAGGACUGCCGCUCCUACCCGCUCUACCAGUUCGUGCGCGAGGUGUGCGGCACCGAGUACCUGACCGGCGAGAAGACGCGGUCGCCCGGGGAGGAGCUGAACAAGGUGCUGGUGGCCAUGAACGAGCGCAAGCACAUCGACCCGCUGCUCGAGUGCCUCAAGGAGUGGAACGGCGCGCCGCUGCCGCUCUGCUGA